Molecule: long non-coding RNA, 3789 nt
Organism: Brassica napus (rape)
Lineage: Eukaryota; Viridiplantae; Streptophyta; Magnoliopsida; Brassicales; Brassicaceae
Exons: 6
Source: RefSeq, a predicted model, not a curated record
GAACAUAAUUUUCUCGAUAAGAAAAUGGAAGAUAUUGGAGCCGACAAACGUUCGAGAGGAAGAGAGAUGUUGUUGGAAAAAACACAACAAGGAUGGAAAGAGUGGAAGCGCUACAUGGUUCAAUCACGGUUAGAUGCACCAGAUGACUUGCAUCUUCCCUUAUUACCGCUUCAGGCACUGUUUUCAAAGCUACAACAGUUGGCCACCAUUGCUGGCUGACAGAGAGUGAUAAUCUGGCUGUCAAACGAGGAGGAGUUUUGGAGUGCGUUUGAGGACGAGUCAGCCAUCUGGUUUGCAACCGUGGAGAUAGCCAGGUUCGCGGGUAUCCAUUUAAAGUGGUACAGAACCAUGCAUCAGUGGUGAUCAAUAGAGCCAUCAACAUAUUCUCCUCAAGAGGCAUCAACCCACAAAGCUCGCUCCCGAAGGCGGAGUGGUUCACGGAAGCAGCCAAGUCAGCUAUCAACUGUUGUGAAUGAGCCUUCUUUACCUCCUCCUAAUACAGACCCAAGUCCAGAAAGCCUUGGCGCUGCUGCUUCACGUCCUCUUCGGCAGGGUAACGGUUCUGGUGGUCCCUAUUUAUAACCAGCAGCAAAGGAGUAAUGUUGCUGGUCCGCCUCCACCUAAUCGACAAAACGGAAAUAAUGCUCCGGGGAAUUUUGCAUAACUGAAAGUAUGUUCAUGUUCUUCAAAUGCUUUAGUGUCCUCAUUUGGAGAAGGCCAUUCACUCACUUCACCUUACUUUAGAACUGAGUGAAGUUAUUUGGCAGUGGUGGUGUUUAGAGUUGCGUGGGUUUUCAAGAGAGGGACUGUACAAGAGAAGACUUUCUGGCUUGUUUGAUAGUGGGUGUGCUGAUUGGGUUGUGGUUAAGAGCAAGAGAACUGGAUCUUCUUGAUAAAGAUGUUAGAAAAAAGAGGAGAAAUGAAUAACCGAUUUUACAUGAAGUUAUGAAUCUUCAUUGGCUGAAGGAAAGAGAUAAUGUAUUGGUACAUAUGAAGAGUCAUCUGCUACUAGGUUGGGUACAACGAAAGCUUAGAAGACUUGGCUACAGUCAAUGGAGUUGGACCAUCAGUUUUCAAAGGAUAACCUUGUGGGCAAGAGAAAAAUACAAUGGACAACUUGAGGUGGAAAGAGUUUAGUGGAAAGGAUGGGGUUUUGACAAAAACACUCAAGGCACGCAUUGGUAUGGAACGUACACGAAGAGAGUUUCUGUGCAGCUCCUCACUUGCAUUGAAGAUGCAUAGUAGUGUCGAUGCUACCAACGAUGGAGAGAGUGUUGUAUAUGAGGAAGAGAAAGUGCAGCCUGAGUCCAGGAGCAGCUUCACUUUUAAAGAAAGAUUUACAGCUGAAAGUAACAUCGAGAGAAGAUCUAACUAGAGGGUUAGAAAAGACGAGUACAUUACUUCUUAAGGAGGAGCAGUUAACUCUGCAACCAAUUAAUAGUUUGUAGUUUAAAUCAAGAACGUUCAUGUAACCCGUUUCAAAAUGGCAUAAAAUUUAUAAACUGCUAUGAGUUGAUCCUCCAAAAAAUAAUUACAACAUAUAAGUCAAACAUGACAUGUGUUCGCUUAACACACCUCAUUGGCUGCAGUAAGUGAGAGUUACAGAAAUGGUCACAUCACAAGGGCAAAGCUACAAUGAGUGAGUGCUAACAGGAAAAUUAUUGACAAGAUGCAGAUUAUAUCUCUGUCAAAGAUGAGUACUGACUUGAGAAGCUUAACCAUGAUACGAGCCGCACCAAGAACAACUAGACGGAAAUCCCUUUUCACUACAGCAUACUUGUGCAAUACAGUGACUUGAAUAUAAGCAAUGGCAGCAGCCAAAAAUCAGAAUUCAAGACCAUGCAUAGAGACUAAACUCAGUGAAACCACAAGAUUAUAAUGUUAAACAAACUACUACCCCCUAACUGAAAAGAGGCGGAUCACAUUAUAAUGUUCAGCACGUUUUCAAGAUGGAGCAGGAAGAGUACACAAAAGAAGCAAUAGAUUGGAGCUACAUUGAAUUUGUGGACAACAAAGAUGUUCUUGAUCUUAUAGAAAAGAAGCCUGGUGGAAUCAUUGCUCUCCUCGAUGAAGCUUGGUAAUAUUAAAGACUACUUCCAUAGAUCUUUUAUCCUGACUGUUAUUUUGUAAACUAAUGAGACUUAAUUUUUCCAGUAUUUUGACCACAAUAUAUUCAAACUUCACGUUUUAAUUGACCACCAUAGCUGACCAUCAUAUCUGACCACCACGGUUAAUAUGCUUCACCAUUUAGUUUUUAGCAAAAAUUAUUAGCUUAACGUAGUUGACCACUAUAAUUGUAUAGUUCUAUAAAAUAUUAAUGAAAUAUUAAUUAUUGGUAAUAUUUAUACACACGUUAGAAAAUAAUAAUAUAAAACUAUUAAUUUGUAACAAAACAAUUAUUAUGUUACUCUCUAAACAUUUUGAAAACCAAACCAAGAUCGACUCAGUAUAUAUAUUGGUUGACUGGUCUGACCAGUUUAACCCGUUUAACGGGUUUUUAAAUUUUUAUUGUAUAUUAUAUAUGUAUAUAUACCAUAUGCUUUAAGAAGAAAAAAGGAAAAUUUGAAAGAAAUCAAAUGCAAACUCGUAUCUUUUGUUAAUGCAGAUUGGUAAAACAAAAAUCUUCUUGAGGGCUGGUCAGAUGGCUGAACUCGACGCUAGGAGGACAGAAGUGCUUAGUGGUGCUGCAAAAAAAAUUCAGAGACAAACAAGAACUCAUCAAGCUCAGAAACGGCUUACUGUUCUGAGAAAGGCCACAAUAUCUCUACAAGCUCUAUGUAGAGUUAAGCCAUCUGAUUUCAAUCGCUCUCUUUGGGAAAGGCUGAAGCAUCGGAGUGCCAUGUGGGCGCUGCUGGUAAGUCGCACUAUUAAGGCUCAGAGGAGGAGCAGAAGGCAUAGAUGAACCAGGAAUGAGGUGUGGUUGUGCCAUCAUCCGUGGGGGCCCAGAGAAAGAGGAAGGGGUCAUCAGAUCUGUAUAAACAUUGGAGUUGCUACUGAUACGAUCAGGAUUGUUGUCAAAAAGAGGCAUUAGAGGAGAGGAGGAUGGUAUAGGCGGUGGUGAUAAUAUUUGUGGAGGUGCAGCUGCCGUAGGGGCAGUGGUGGGUUGAUGAGGUUGUAGAUGAUUUGCUGAUGACAUGUAUGGUGGUCCAGUUGCCGAUCCAGCCGAAGUGUUCCCAAGAGACAUCGCCUAUGUAAACCAACCUCUGCUUCCUACUGAGGAUCUAAACCAAUUUGAAGGUCAUUGUUAGUUGUUACAGAUCACUACUUACAGAUAAAACCAUGUACCAUUACAGGAAAUAAGGGUAGUAAUAGCAGACUGAAAACACUAUGAGUCAUAUAUAAUAGCGUUUCCUUAGCCGCUCUGACAGCGCCCGUUAUAAUAGGUCCGACAUUUUUAAUAGCGAUUUUUGUUUAUGCUAUAGUUAACCAUACAACGAUAGCAAAUGUUUCGUGUCAUUAAUUUAUUUUUUAAUUAUCUGAAAAUUUAUUAAAAAUAAUUACUAAAAAACAAUUUUUUAAAAAAUACACCUAAAUGUAAUUCAUAAUUAAAUAAUUCAAAUGAAAUCAAAAGUUAAUUCAUAAUUAAAAAUUAAAUUUUAUUUAUUAAUUAAAAUCAGUAUACAAGUAAUUAAAAAACGAAUUAAACCAAAAACAAAUUAAAACAUUAAACAAAAAAAUAAUUAACCAAAACAUAAUUAACCUAAACCUAAUCUAAGCCUCUGCCUGUCGACAAAAAAAAAAUCUAAGCCUCUGCCUACAACCCUAGUUCCUCCGCCUCUAGCCUCCAGC